Molecule: ribosomal RNA, 252 nt
Filed under: uncultured prokaryote
Description: partial 16S ribosomal RNA
Rfam family: Bacterial small subunit ribosomal RNA
Source: RNAcentral
CCGUAGGCGGCCCUCUUUCUCCUUAUUUACUGGUCUUAAAUUUCGUUCAUGCUGUCUUCUAAUUUCGUUGUUAAAGCGCCCAGGCUUAACCGGGCGAGGACAAUGAAGACUGGUCAGCUAGAGGACGGUAGAGGGGUGUGGAAUUCCGGGUGUAGUGGUGAAAUGCGUAGAGAUCCGGAGGAACACCAGAGGCGAAGGCGACACCCUGGGCCGUACCUGACGCUAAGACGCGACAGCACGGGGAGCGAACGG